This 1711-nucleotide long non-coding RNA is filed under the name Canis lupus familiaris (dog). RNAcentral's name for it is "lncRNA (ENSCAFG00000050353.1)". The record is from RNAcentral. Lineage: Eukaryota; Metazoa; Chordata; Mammalia; Carnivora; Canidae.
AACAUUGCUUCUGAGAAUAUUUCCUGUCUUUUACAUCAGAAUUGAUCUAUCAUAUCUGAAAGCAGGCAUUUAAAUUUUUUUUUCUGUAAUAGGUUUGAAGACGGUGAGGGGACGAUGUUCUCUAUUUUUUUUUAAUUUUUUUUUCUUUAAUUAUUUAUGAUAGUCACACACACACACAGAGAGAGAGAGAGGCAGAGACACAGGCAGAGGGAGAAGCAGGCUCCAUGCACCGGGAGCCCAAUGUGGGAUUUGAUCCCGGGUCUCCGGGAUCGCGCCCUGGGCCAAAGGCAGGCGCCAAACCGCUGCACCACCCAGGGAUCCCUGUUCUCUAUUUUAACCCAGGCUCGUUCUCUAGCAGUGUGUUCAUAAUCCCCUGCCCCUCCCCCUUCCAGCCUCUUGGCUGCCCCAGCAGUUAUCCCUGCCCUUCUAUCUACAAACCUCCAACAGCCAGCGAGCACCUGACAGCAUAGCAGGGCACAAACUAGGUAAGCAGCUUGGGUCUGCCCAAACUUAGUCUGCUUCCAAAGUGUCUCACUCUUCUUCCUACUUUCAUCGUUUUAACCUGUUCACAAAUUUCCUGAAAGAAAACUUACUAUCAGCUCUUUCCAUUUUUCUUUUUGCUUUCAUUCUGAAAGUUUCUCAAGCUUUUAAUGCCAUGACUGUUCGCAGUCAUGUUCAGCCUGGCCAGCUUCAACCCAGGGCAAGUUACUUUUUUUUUCUUUUCCUGAGCCUCAGUUUUUUCACCUGUAAGAUGGGGUUAGUAAUAUUACUGCAGUCAUGCACAUGUACUAUGAAUGAUGCGUGGAGGUAUUUAGCACAGUGAGUGGUCUAAUUAAGUGCUUGGUUUCUACUAAUAACUAAUUCUGCUUUUUUACCUUUGAACUUUUCCCUAAGCCUAUGACCUACUCAUGACUUCUUUCUUCCCUGUUCCAUCCUUUGUACCUUUGGUAAUCAAUACAUGAAGAUGAUAGGUGGGGCAGUUCUAAAAAUACCUUGAAUAAAACAAGAUUGCUUUCUGAGACUCUAUUGAUAAAAUUCACACAAAUUGGAAGACAGGAAUACGCCAGGAAAUUAUGUAAAUGUUUGAUGAAUUCCCAAGCCCCAAUUUGAUGAUAUGGUGUAAUCUUAUGGAUGUGGAAUUAAGUAUGUGACUUGACUUAGUAUACUAAAAUCAAGUCAAUGUAUCAUUUUUCUGGAAAAAGACUAUAUACUUAGAAGGUAGAUGGCAAGCCUGUAGUAUAGCAAAGGAAGCCCAUAUAUUCAGAGGGGUUUGCAUUUACCAUCCCAAACUUACCCAGGGAUGGGGUGAAAGGACUCCACCUACCCUUUUUGGGGCAAGUUAUAUCCACUGUGGGCCCCUAAGAUCAUUACCAUCAAUCGUACAACAGCAAGAAACUUGCCGAUUAUAGUUUGAUUCCCUUUGUAGAUCAGCCACCAGGUGCUGGUCACAGGUCAUAAAUACAUGUGCUUGUGUGUCAAUUAUAGUUUCCUGCUCAAAGUAGGUAUCCUCUUUUUCUCUCAUGAGCUUAUUAGUGUAAGUCCAUUCUCAAAAGCAGCUCUGCUUUUGGAGUAUUGCCUACCAGUGAGGACCAGACUCUGGAUGCUUGUGAAUCAUCAAAGUGGACCUACGCCUACAACCCUCCUCCAAAUCUCUCUCACCUGUGACAUUUGCCUGCUGCCAUCUUCUCAGGUACCUGUCACCACUCUUUAA